Molecule: long non-coding RNA, 318 nt
Filed under: Hordeum vulgare
Lineage: Eukaryota; Viridiplantae; Streptophyta; Magnoliopsida; Poales; Poaceae
Description: long non-coding RNA (HVUL_LNC013211)
Source: RNAcentral
UAACUAUGCAUAAUUUUUGUGACAACUGUACAUCCGUAAAAUGACAACUAUAAUGACAUAAAUGUGACAACUAGGAACGACGAAAAAAUAUCAACGAAACAUGUCAACAUGGGAUCUUAUUUUAAAGGUCUCGUCGAGACGAACCUAACGGUGAAGACGAAUCUUUAAUCAAAUUAUUAAUCUAUAAGAUAAAUCAUUUUUAAAAUUCAAAAAAGCAUUUAAUGCGAUGAUGUUAUCAUGGGAUAGAAGGUUUUUGCAUGCGCGUGUAAGCCGCCGCAUGGAAGUGAUGUGAUGCGGCGCUUCUCCUUAGAUUUUCCC